Molecule: long non-coding RNA, 3469 nt
Organism: Mesoplodon densirostris (Blainville's beaked whale)
Lineage: Eukaryota; Metazoa; Chordata; Mammalia; Artiodactyla; Ziphiidae
Exons: 3
Source: RefSeq, a predicted model, not a curated record
GAAGCUCUCAAGCGCUCGCACGAAUUUUACUGCGAGCUCGAAAAGGGGGCGCCGCCUUUGCGGCCCAACUGUCUUCCCCAUCCCCAACUGUUGCCCCUUCCGGCCACCGGCUGAAGCCUUGCUCGGCUCCUAGGCUCUCGGGUCAACGGUCACGGGCAGAGAAGCCCACGUGGACCUCGCGUCGGGCAGCCCCGCGUCCCCGGAAGCUCAGGCUCUCGGGCGCCGGGCUGCGGCGUUCUGGGAGGUCGCUCUGAGCGCUCCGCGGCCCGGGCCACCGCAUCACUCACGACCGGUCCCCGCCGGGCCGCCCCGGUCCCUGGAAAACAGCGAGGGUACUCUCCAAGGCAGCAAUUACCAGCUACGACCUUUUGGGUUUUGAGGCUGCUUCCUAGGAAUGUCUGUUCCUUGGCUACAUCAUCAGAGAAUCAGAGAGUUGAGGAUUGCCGCCAGCACCACGAGGCCUAUGGGUACUUCUUGCUCAUCCAGAUGAGGCGGCAGGACAAUGACCGUACGGCCAUGGGAACAAUGCUGUGUACUACAGCUACUUAGACACGAUUAUCAACCAGUACCUGAUGAGCUCACCACUUUGGAUUCGAAGACUUGAAACUUAAAGCAGGAGGAGACCAGAUCUUGGACAAAGCAGAAAAUGUCAGGGAUGAGGGGCUUCCCUGGUGGUGCAGUGGUUAAGAAUCUGCCUGCCAAUGCAGGGGACACGGGUUCAAGCCCUGGUCCGGGAAGAUCCCACAUGCCGCAGAGCAACUAAGCCCGUGUGUCACAACUACUAAGCCUGCGCUCUGGAGCCUGCGAGCCACAACUACUAAGCCCUCGCGCCUAGAGCCCGUGCUCUGCGACAAGAGAAGCCACUGCAAUGAGAAGCCUGUGCACUGCAAUGAACAGCAGCCCCUGCUCACCACAACUAGGGAAAGCCCGCACACAGCAACAAAGACCCAACACAGCCAAAAAAAAAAAAAAAAAAAAAAAAAAAGUCACGGAUGAAAGAGCCUUGACAUUUUAGAACCUAUUCAAGAAACUUGACCAGCUAAGCAGCUGCAGGAGCCUCAGCCCCUUGCUCUUAGGUUGAAGACCCCUAUGCCCACUGGCAUCUCCUGCUCCACAGCUGGCCCAGGUUCCAGCAAUUCCCCACUGGACUUCACUAAGGCACCCCAAACCCCUGUCCAGAGCAAACUUCAGGCUGGGAACUCAACAGUGUCCAUCUGUAGGCCAAAGGGCCCCAAGCUAGGGAUGCCAUCCCUGAAGGAAACUUCCAAGACACCUGCAAGCUACUUCCAAUGUUUAAGAAGGUUUUACCCUAGUAGUCCAUUUACCUGGGGUGAUGUCAUACAGGCUAAUUAGGGAUUUGUUUCUUUGCUUUGGGCUGGAAUUUUAUCCUUCUUACUGUGAACAGAAGUUCAAAUCGGCAGUUACUCUUUGAUCAAUUAGAAAUGGAAAUGAAUUCAUUAGCACUUAAAUCUCCACUCCUACCCGAACCUGGGUAGCCCAAGCUCCUCUUUCUCAGGAAGGUGGAAACUUUACUAACAGCUUUGACUUGUCCCUUCAUUUGCAAUUUUAACAGGUCUCAAGACCGAAAGACUAAACCUCAAGUAUCUUCCUUCCAGGAAAUCACAGCUAGACACAGCAGAAUUCUUUCCACACAGUGCAGUGUUCAGCCUACCUACUGUGCGCCAGACACUGCUGCAGUCCUGGGGACACAGUGGUGACAUGCCCAUCGGUUAUCCAAAGCCAACUGAGAAGCAGAAUCUCAAACCAGCAAAGACCAAACGACGUCAGACAGUAUACAACCUGUUUUUCUGGAAAGGACAGCAUCUAAUCUAUGCCAAAGAAAUAUCCAGGACAUAGCUCAGCCUGACACGUAGUGGGAGCUCAAUAAAUAUCUGUUGGAAGCAUAUAUAAUCUUAACCUCUCUCUUUAAAAAUAUCAAACAUGAGCUCUAGGGAAAGGAGGCUAUGAUGUAAAUAGACCAAACGCUAUAAUUAGAACACCUGGACUGUAGUCCUGUGUGAUCUUGGGCAACUGACUUGACUCUCUGAGUCUCAGUUUCCCCAUCUGUAAAUGGAACACCUACUUUACAAGGAAUGUUGUGAGGAAUAGAGGAGAGAAUGUGUGCCUUUCCUCACUAAGGAUGACGGUCCCCACCACAGGUGGAUGGAGAACUCAACAAACAGGUAACAGGUAAUGGAAGUAAGCAAAGCGUCCAGGGAGCCCGGGGAUCCCCUGACAGCUGCCAACAAGGCUGCCCAGCUCUGCUCUAGACAAUGACGGCCUCAUGGAAAAAUGGGCCACGGGUGUCAAGAGAAGCCGGAAAUCGGGGGCUGUAUGUGGAAUCGCUUUGAUGUUAAAUGUUGGCAAGUAAUUUACAUUUUUUUCUCAGACUGUGCAGCACAUUGGUGACUGCAUGAAGCCUCUGGGUCCCCACUUUUUUUUUUUUUUUUUUUUUUUUGUCUCCAGGGGCCUUAGAGCUGUCACGUUUUCAGAAUCUAUGGGCAGAUGGUGGUGACAAAGCUGCCUGGAUCCAGUCAUGCUCCUGCCUCUGCAGUCCGGACUUGGAGGGGACUGUUGCACCAGGAGCUGUGGACAGAGAAAUGGCUUCUCGUGCUCUGCCAGUCCCAUACCGCACCCAUCAUUUCCAACGCUCCGGCCUCCUCUGCAUUUAGCCCAGAUUUACCUUACUGGUGAGCGGUGUGUCCACUACCCAUCCAGUGGCUCAAGGCCAGAGAACGGAUGCCACCCUUUGUUGCCCCCUCCUCUCCCCCACCCCGACGUUGAGCCAAAAGCAAGCGCUGCCAGUUCCACCUCCAACAUGGCUCUGGGUUUACCCUCUCCCGCUGUGCCUGAUUUAGGCGCUCCCGGCCACCCUGUGCCCCUGGUCUUGCCAUCUGUGGCUCAGUUAUGUUCUCUGCCCUACUGCCAGUCCAACUUUCCUAAUAAACUUUGGGGAUGAUGACAUUUCUACCAUGUACAGAAUAAUGUCUGAUCUCCACCUCACAGAGGUCCUUCCCGCCCUGUCCCUUUACUGUCCCAACACCCCGAAUCCACAAGAACAGAUUUCAAAACCUGUAUAAGCAGGCUGUUCUCUCUUCAGUAUGCCUUUCCCUGCUCAUACGUCUGGUAACCUUUGAGUCGUGCCACAAGCUCUGGUCAGGUGGCUUCCCAAACCCCCAAGUUACUUUCUCCAACCCGAAGCCUUAGGGAGCUCCUUCUCCUAGAUGCAGUCAUUGUGGCUUUUACAUGCCACCAUCACAGCAAUUAUGCAUAGCAUCUGCUUGAAUCUCUCUCCUCUGCAUAUGAUUAUAAGUACUUUAUGGCCUAGAACGUAAGGUUUUAUUUUUGUAGUUGUCAGGUAUCUAACACGGUACCUGGAAUACAGUAGCCAUUCAAAUGUUUGUUGCAUGAAUAAAUGAAUGCAGAUUGACAUAUAUACACUAUUAUGUAUAAAAUAUAUAACUUAUAA